AUUGAACGCUGGCGGCAUGCUUUACACAUGCAAGUCGAACGGUAACAGGCCUUCGGGUGCUGACGAGUGGCGAACGGGUGAGUAAUGCAUCGAAACGUACCCAGAGGUGGGGGAUAACGCAGCGAAAGCUGUGCUAAUACCGCAUGUGAUCUGAGGAUGAAAGCGGGGGACCGAGCAGCAAUGUUUGGCCUCGCGCCUUUGGAGCGGCCGAUGUCGGAUUAGCUAGUUGGUGGGGUAAAGGCCUACCAAGGCGACGAUCCGUAGCUGGUCUGAGAGGACGACCAGCCACACUGGGACUGAGACACGGCCCAGACUCCUACGGGAGGCAGCAGUGGGGAAUUUUGGACAAUGGGCGCAAGCCUGAUCCAGCAAUGCCGCGUGCGGGAAGAAGGCCUUCGGGUUGUAAACCGCUUUUGGCAGGAACGAAACGGUGUCCGCUAAUACCGGGCGCUAAUGACGGUACCUGCAGAAUAAGCACCGGCUAACUACGUG
RNAcentral lists this ribosomal RNA (492 nucleotides) under uncultured bacterium. Its description in RNAcentral is "partial 16S ribosomal RNA". It matches the Rfam family "Bacterial small subunit ribosomal RNA", at positions 29 to 507 of the family's 1533-position model. The record is from RNAcentral.